Equus quagga is the source of this 9919-nucleotide long non-coding RNA. RefSeq lists it as uncharacterized. The record is from RefSeq and is a predicted model, not a curated record. Lineage: Eukaryota; Metazoa; Chordata; Mammalia; Perissodactyla; Equidae. The transcript has 5 exons.
AGAGAGAGGAGGGAAGGAAGAUGUUAAUUCCAAAUGGGAAAUACUAGGUUGAACAUAAUGAAGUCAAUAUUUGACCGAUUUUGACAUUAGAAAAAGACAAUUUCCCAUGGUUACGGUUCAUCCUGACAGCAUUCCAUGGCUGCAAAGCAGAUAUAUUUGGGACAUGGAUAUGGACCCAUCAGUUUUAACUGGCGCCGAGUCUAAACUAUUCGUGGCGUCGAUACUUUCAUGAUUGUAUAAAGGUUAUUCCACUGAGCACCUUUCAAAGCAGCCCCAGCUUUCCACGGGGCAUCUUGGUGCCUGUGACCUCGAGAGAGAAGAACAGAAAUCCUGGGCAGAGAAGAAGCUGUUUAAACAUCCUUUGAUUUCCUGUCGUCAUUUAGUAAAUGCAUUAAAUUAAGCUGCAGAUGUUUUGCUGUCAACACAACGCUGUAUUAUGGUGUGUUAUUUUCCUGAUAGAAACAUUUUCUAUACUGUAAAUAAACACAGUUUUGUUAAUUAGUUAAUGAAUUAUUUUUUUAUGCUCCAUUAGGCUUUAGAAAAAAUAGUGCAAGCUAUUGAAAGUUCUCAUUUUUAAUAAACAGACCUUGUAGUACAUAUGGAAUGACUAAUAUCUGCUGAAAUGGUAGCUCUUGCAGGAAUAAUUAUGGCUCCGGCUCUCUGUUUCAAGUUAUUAUGUGCUGCUGAGAGUAUUUUAGGCUGUGGAUUGAGGUUUAUUAGAGAUACCCAGGAUUUGGGAUGGAACAUCUGAACAGAACACCUGGAAGUGAGGGGGAGAUAGAGAUUUGCUCAUUUAUUUUAUAUCUUACUUUUUUUUUUUUUGCAACAAGGAGGUGUUUUAAACAAGUAGCAAAGAAAUAGAGAAUUCUGCACUUAAGGUCCAGGUCAACCUGAGACAUGCCGGAACGUUAGCAACGAAACAAACCCAGCCAAACACGGUGUUUUCUGUAAUUCUGAUUAGCAUCUACUUGGCCCCUUCCUUGAAGUAUCCUCCGUGGAAAUGUUCCAGAUAGAAAUCUGCAAGCUCCCGCCGUCAGCCGUGUACUGGAGCCGGCCCCACCAGCUCGAGAGCUGAUUGUCAAAAUGGGAUUCCAUGGAGCAGGAGAGUGGCUUGCUGGUUAAUAGCUUAAAGGUCUUGAGAUACACCUUCAUCUUCAAGGAGUGACUCCGCCUCUUCAGAGAUAUGUGAUGUGGAACAAGUUCCUUUCCGUGAAAAAUGAGAGAAGUUGUGGUACCUAUCUCAUGGGAUCGUAGUGAGGCUUAAAUGAGGGUUCUGCAUGGUUUCUUAGUCAUCAAACUCUGCCAUCAGGCUGUGUCUAAGUUCUCAGUGGGGCCUGGAUCCCUGGUACUUAGAUUCAGUGGAGUGAGCUCUUCAGAAUUCACUCAGAGUACACGCUGGGAUCGUCUUGACAAACUUCAGUUAUCACUGAUUUUAAGAAGUUCAGAGGGACCAGGAAAUCAAAAUUUCUGUUUUGGAACAAAAAAAAACACUGAAUAUCCAGUUUCCACUUUCUAUAGAACCCUGAGUAGAGGAGAAUGAAAGAGAAGCAGAGGCAGAGGUGGCUGACCCACAGCCUUGACACCUGGGGAGGCCAGACUGAUUGCCACGGUCUGGAUGAUGAAGGGACCUCUCAGGUUCUGGGACACCGAGAUUUCUGGAAUGCUGCUCCUAGUGGAAGCCCCUGUCUGAGUCUUGAGAUGAGCCUUCUCCACAUGAAGCUCUCGGCACCAGGCCCGGUUCUCCUCUCCUCUUUUGCAUGUGGACGUUUAAUUUUCUAGUGUCUUCUCUUCUUCUUAAGUGUCUCUCUUUAAGGCCAGCACCCUUAUCUGCUCUAAGAAGUCAUUCUACAUCAAUAUCUAAACUGAGGAGAACCUAGCCGCUCUGUGACUGCAGACUUUUUCUUUUCCUACCCUGACAACCUGCAGUCUUAUUUUAAAACUAUAGGAGAAUCUGACACUUGCUUCCUGGUUUUGAGCCUUUCUGUCCCUCUAACGGACUCUCUUUCCCCCAUGAAGGCAGGGCUGGUCUCGCUUUGCAUGUCGGGAAAGACUGAGCCCUUCUUUGUUCACUCCUUGGGGCAAACAGCAUCCUGCCCAUCCACCUGUGCGCUCCCUGUGGCCCCUGAGGUCCCAGAGUUUGAUGUCCCAUACACUUUGCCUUAGGGAACAAAAGACACACUUUACUGAAAAUGUCAUAUGUCAGCCCACGUCCUUCGAUUCUAUUAAAACCCCUUCUUUUUCCUCUUUCUUUUUUUCAAAAAAAAUUAUAGGGAAAAAGGAGAGAAAAGGAUUGGGGAGAGCAGUCCACAAAAACCCAGCAAACCCAAGCCCACUUUGGGGAGUUGAAACAUCUGCACUUUCUCAGCAGUUUGAAAGGAAACAAAAAAUUGCCAAGUGGUAUAAAAUUUGAAGAAAAAUUACCCAAAGGAGGAAUGGACGUUAACCACGCUUCAAUUCCCCACUAUGGGUUGACAUUUGAAGUACUUUCUUCUCUCCUCUUUCUUUCUGAUUCACAGUGUGUCUAAAGAGGUGAAUUGGGCACACAAAACCCAACCUCCUCUUGCCAGGGUGGGUAUGAAAUAUGAAGGCUAGACGAUUGUCUGGGCUCAGUGCAUUGGAAUAACAUUGGUUAAAUUAUGGAUAGUUUUUGAAUAGUGUCACUUUUUUUUUCUCUGCAGAUGGUUGUUCACACAAGGAGCCGGGUCUGCAUAAUUGUAUCACUAAUCAGCAGAAAGGCAAUUAGUUGUGUAAGUGUGCUAUAAUCAUUCUAACAGAAGAGAUGACGAAAAGACAAAAAAAGGAGGGGGGGACCAAAAUGUCUUUUCUGAAUCCAUCAACUGACAGCCAUAAUUAGAUAUAUAUAAUUGAAAAUUCCACAGUAGGGGGGCCAGCUUAUACAAAUGAAUUUUCUCUGCUGCCCUUACGCAUUUUUGUCUUUGGCUGAGCAUCCCCCUAGGAAAAGGCAGAAAACUCGUCAUUCCAAGAGUGCAUACUGUACUGGGUAUUCUUUCAGACCAAUGAUGUCAGAAUAACAAUUUUUUUUUUUGGCGUGGGGGGGCAUUGGCUGGGGGACUGGGAGGUUGGCAGGCUCUUAGCGUAGGCUGAUAUGAAUUGCGUUGCCAUGAAUGGUGUCAUCGUCACUGUUAUUUUGAACCUGUUCUUAGCUGCAUCCCUAAUGUCUCUCUUUGGGUUCAUAAUGAGAAAUCCCCGGCAGGGCUGACUUACCCAUUCAGCACAUGUCUAGGGUCCACCAUACUUUAAGGGGCCCACAGGAAUGUUUUAGUUUUCAUUUCUUUUUAAAUUAAAAGAAAAUAAAAUGAAUAUAAUAAUAGAGUGUAUGAAAAUGAAUCCAGCCAGAAUUAUAGUCAUCUUUAUACUGAUGCAGUUGUAAAAUACAAUUUUCAAUAUGGUUUUAUGGAAUAAGGGACCCACAAAGGCAGAAGUGCUGGGAGCCUACUAAAGGCAUAAGGUGGCACUGAUUCUGGGCUAGGUGGAGCCUCUGUGGAAGAGAGAAAAAGUGGGGCUUGAGGGAGCUUCCUUACAACAGAAUAUUCCAUCCUCAGUUUUUAUUGGAAAGAGGGGACUUUAUUUAACCAAAGCCUGAUUAUCAAAACCUAUAAUUACAUUUGGGUUAAAAAUUCUUAAGUGCCUAUGAGUUCGUGGAAACUGCAGAAAAGCCUAGCACCGAAUUAAUCAGACUCUAGGUUUCCCAUCAGACUAAAAAUCUUCUUUUUAAAUUGGAAGCGCAUUCCCCCAACCUCUCUCUCUCUCUCUCUUUGAAUCCACCAACUCUCCUAUAAUUUAAUUGGACAAAUCUUAACUGUGAUUUUUUUCCCCUCCCAAAGAGGGGGCACAUUGCGGCCAAAGCUUGUUAAUUAAGUUCUUUAAAUGCCCCCAGCUGUGCAAUAAGUUUUCAAAGCAGCACAACUGCAAAUUUAUUUAUUUAUUUUUUUUACCAUUUGGUGGCUAGUUUUCAAUCAUGCAUUAUUCCCCCCUCCUUGUUUUGAGGAUGGGAAAAACAGGAGUAAUCUCUGAGAGAAUUCCCAUGCAUUGUGGAAUCUUGGACAGACAGUCAAAUUGGAGGUGCCAGUAAGUGGUGUCUAAUUGGAGCCUGUUUAAGGAGGGAGUCACAAGGGACGAUUCUUCGGGCUCCCAGGCAGCUUGGGUACGCACAUGCCUGUGUACAAAUAACUCCCUGAACGGCACCCAGGCACACAAACCUCCCUCCAGGGCCUGGACGGGGGUUCUCCUGUUGGCAGGUGGGGCUUGAGGGAAAGUGGACUGAGCCAGGCCGGCAGAGGGGCCCUGUGGACAGCACGAUGGCCACCGAAUGUGUCUCUGGUCUCCCUUCCCCCGAAAUGCAGCAGCCCACGUGCCCUGUCUUUUCCAUCUCAACUAACCCAGCAGAGGUGGAUUUGAAAUGGAAGGAGAAAUGGGAAGUGAGUUGCAGUCACCUCAAUCCUCUACAAAGCACCCGCACUUUAAAGCGACAUCUUUUUUAGGAGCAAAUGAUAUCCAACUUAGAGUGAGGACCUUUGUUAAAAAAAACCUUAUUCGUAUUCCAGCCUCUCCAUAUUUCAAUUCUCUUUUCAGGCAUCUCAUUGCCCGUUUUGCAAUUAGGUGUGGCCACACGAUUUGCUCUGGUCAAUGGCAUGUACAUGGAAAUGAUACAUGUCAAGUGGCAGCUUUGAGAGCCAGUGCACAGUUUACCACAUUCUGUAAUUCCCUGCAGAAGUGGCCGUGUUGAGAUGAGGACUCUCUCCCCUGGGUUCCUGGGUUUUCAUGGUGCGCAGAGCCCCCCAGCAGAAUCUACUCCCACUCCCACUCCAUCAACCCAUGUUGGACAUGUAGCUUGAAGAAGAAAUAAGCUUCUCCAUGUUAGAUCAGUGAGAUUUGGGGGUUGUUUGUUACUACAAUAUAAUUGUAGCCCAACUGAUACAAUUACUUAGAGAAUGUCAUUAAAUGGUGGCCUGGGGACCAGAUCAGGCCCGUAGAAAUGUUUUGUUUGGCCAUGUUUUCUAAAAAGCUAGUUGCCAACCUUAAAUAUCUGGAAAGCACGCAUAAAAAUCUGGCAACACUAGGCUUGCCCUCCUUCUGUGUAGCUGCAGUUGCCUGGUGUGGCAGCCCCCAGCACUCUCCAAGGUCUGUCACCAGGAGGUCACUUAAACCAUCUGCUGUCCCCUGGAGGCCAAGACCUUCCCACAUCUGGAGGACAGGAAGAGUGUGUCUUGGGGUUUCCCUUCCUCUUUGCUGCUUCUGUGUGCCACGGAAGGGCAAGGACCAGGCUUGCUUUGGCUUCAUUUCCCAAGGGGGUGCUGCAGGAGGCGGUGAAGCACCUGAUCGUGGGCCUAAAUAGGGAGGGGCUGCAGAUCUGAGAUCUGGGUGUCUUGCACACUGUGUGCACCUCCAUGGUCCAUGGCAUGGCAGCGUCCACUGGAUGAGACAUACCUUGGAGGGACUCAGGUAGACCCAGUGGUAUGGUCACUUGCCAAUUUCGCAACUGUCACACUUGGUCAAGGCAAAGAAGAAGAGACAUUAUUGCCACUGGUAAGGGCAGGGUACUCCCAAUCUCCCUCCCUGUUUCUCUCCUUCCCCUCCCCCUGUUUGCCUUGCCUUUUCCCCAUGCACAUAAAAUGGCCAGCAGCCAUUCAUCUUUAAAGCAUAUCUUCUCCUAUGGCUGUUGGAUCCUUAGCAUCUUUUCCCCAUGACUCAACAUCUAUUUGUUGCUUUUCUCUUGCUCUCCUGCCUUCACCAAAAGGUUUUAUUGCCAUUCCCAAGAACCUCGGAUAGGACUGGAAGUAAGAGAGAAGCCAUAGAUGCUUACCAAAAUCUGGGGUAAAAUAACUCCCUAAGAUAGAGCCCGUCCACUCGUGGGAUAAGGAGAGAAGAUGUGAACGGAGCUGCUACUCACCCAGUGUGUGACUACUAACCUCUGUCCAGCCUUCGUUGUACUCCUUUCUCCGAAUGCUGUCAGCAUGAAGGUUUUUCAGCUCUCAGCAUCCUCCUCUGUUUUCAGGAUGUGGGACUAGCUUUGGGAAAAGUCAUAAAACCAGAAGAUUUUCUUCUUCUCCGAAGUCCGCAGCCUGGACCUCGUUCCUUUGCCUCUCUGUGGUGUUCCGUAGCCCUCCUUCCUUGCUCUUUCUUUCUCCCUACCUUGUGGGCAGCUUACUUUCAGUCUACUGCCUCAUUGCCAGCAAACUGUGUCCGUGUGUUACCUCUCCCAGGGCAGUCUGCCUUUUAAGUCCUCUUAGACGUUUCCACCUCCAUUAGAAGCUGUCCAUCACAGUGCAGGAUACAGACUUAUUUUUCAUGCCAGAACUCCUUCUGGGGAACUGGAAAUAAUGCCUGGUCAGUGGAAAGUGGUUUCACCUUUGGAGAACGGAUGCCUCCCUUUCUGGGAUGCGUGCUCACUUCUAUCUCCCUGGGACGCCCUUCCCCCAAGCACAGGUGCUCCUGAGCUGUUGGACUGGCCCAGGUUUGUGCCGAUUCUCUGCAUCUUCCCUUUGGCCCUGCCCUUCUGAGCCACUUGCAAAAUUCCUACUUUGAAAUUCCGGGGGGUGUCACCCUAAGAGUGACCGCCUGGAGGCGUGGUUAAGAGUGCAGGCUCCAGGACCGCAGUGCAGGCUUUAUCCUGACCCUGCCACUUACUAGUUGUAUGACCUUGGGCUAGUGACUUAAGUUCCUCUCUUUUUCAUUUCUGAAAUGGGGAUAAUAGCAGAACUGGCCUCAGCUGGGUGCUAUGUUCUAAAUGUGUUAAUACAUGGAAAACACUUCAAAGUGACCUGGCACGUUGAGAGAGUUCAAUAAAAGUGAGCUAUUUAUCUCAACUCAGAGAAUCUCAACCCAAAGGGGUUCUCUCACCCCGAGGGCCUCUGCAGCCUGCUCCUGGCUCCUCGCACCUGCUUCCUCAAGGGUCGCCUUCUCAGACGUCUUGCAGAGUGUUCCUCUGGCUGCGUCCUAGCAAACCUGAGAAGUCGCCUCUCCGACUGGCGUCCACUGGCAUCGCCCUGAGCUACAGUCUGUCUCCAUGGCUUCUCCUCUGGCCUUUUCAUCUGCCGACUGUGACCUCCUCAGGGCUGAGCAGCUCUGCCUCCCCAGUGUGAUGCACAUGGCUCCGGAGGUAACGGCUCGAGAUAGAGUUCCUUUUGGCUGAAUAAUGGCGGCUUUAGCUCUUUCCUAGGACAGUGGGGGCUUUUGAACUUUUUGCCUCCAGGACCCUAUUUGUUUGGGUGUUCUUCGUUUGGUCUCCCAUCUGAAUGACAACAGUGAGUGAGCUGUCAUUUGAGGUUGUCCACCACCUUGCGAGGCCAGUAAGCCACUUUUCAGUUUAGACAACCAGAAUUAAGCCUGCAUCAGCCUGCUGGGGGGCAGCUGCCAUCUCCAGGUUCUGAAGUGUGUGUUCUCUCCUCCCCCCAUCUCCAAGCCUUUCUAUGUCAUGCUGACGAUCAGCGAAGUCCUCAGCCAUGUGCGGGUUUGGGUUAUUUCUUAGCUUUCACUAAGCCACAUGUAGUCGUCCAGGAGCUGUCUGAGCAAUCCUGAGAGCCACCCCCGACACGCUGCUUGGGACUUGUUAGCUACGUAACUGAUGACCAGGUCUCAGGAUGAUGACGGCUUGGCAGCCCCACAAUCGCUCAGUUUAAUAUAACCGGUUUCUCAAGAAGCAAAUGCAUCUGCCGGCUUUGUCUUUAUAUGCCAGUGAUAUGGAGGCAAAAAUGGACUGAACUCUAGGCUUAAAAGAGCCCUCCAAGUCCUAAACGCCCCAUCCUGGGUCUCUUUGGCCAAAGGCUGAAACUUGAUUCCCAGAGGGCAGAAUUUGGCCUGCACAUUGCUUUUAUCAGAAAUUAAAUUUGAGCACUUUUCAGCAACUCAUGUAUUCUCUAGUUUGCCACAGUCUCUACCAUUCCCUUUUGUUUUACAUCUGGUCUACUUCAUUCGCUCAUGUGAAUCUGUGUGGUCCCUGAAGACAACUAGAAAACUUAGCGUUUUCUCUGUAAAUAUGGAAACUACUCAUAGGAACAUAGAACCACGGCGUUUAGAGCUGAAAGGAAGUUUAAUGACAUUUCAGUUGUAGUCCCACAUUUCCAAGUGGGGACUCUGAAGUCCAAGAGAAAUGACAAGAAACCAUCGCCGGCCCACAAGUCUUCGCUGCUUAUAGUCUCAAAAUGAGGUAAUGCCUCUGGACAUUUUUUGAGAAGAAUAAAAGCUUCAGAACUAUAAUAAUCAUAGUGGCAUGACUGAGGAAGUAUGACAGAUCCUGAACCCCAGAGCCUGUGUGUGAGCUGUCAUCCGCCACGGCCUUGGCUUUGCUCCUUGCCAAAUCUGAAGAGCUUCUCAUUCAUCUGGAAAAGCCCACUCAUGCCAAAGCACGAGUGAGCACUGUAUGUCUUACCGAAGAUCUUGGUAGACGGAAGAAAGGGUUUGUGUCCCCGUGUACCCAGUGUUUCUCUUAAGAAGUCCCCCAGGCGCAUCUUUUCCUCCCAGUCUCCUCCCUCUGCCCGCACCUGCCAGGUCUCUCUCCUGCCCCCUCAACUGACCACGAGCUUCUUAAACCCCUGACUCCAAACCCCCUCCGCUGAGCUUAUCUGUCCUCUUUUCUUAUGCUGAGCUACACGGCUCUCCCCCAGUUUCUAUCUCCUUCUGUCACUUAAUGCUAUUUUCAAGUGUGAGGAUAGAAAUUUUGUUUGUGUUCAGCAAACAAAAGAGUCUUCAGUUCCCAUGACCUACCUCCAUAAAUGGCAAUGGAGGAUUAUAAAUAACAGCAAUAAAAUAUCUUUGUUUCUUUAAACACAUGUGGUCCCUAAUCCUUGCGACAACCCUACAAUAAGAUAGGUAUUAUUCGGACCCCAUAGGAAAAAAGAGCAGAGAUCAGGGAGGUCAAGCCACUUGCCCUAGGUCACACAGCUUGUAAGUGGUGCAGACAGGAUUUACUCAGUCCUUCCCCAAACUCUUUCUUUUUCCCAUCUGGGGGCAUUGGAUGGCAGGUAGUAGGACUGAGUUAGUUGAUCUGCUGGCAUCAAUUCUAGGUGACUCUCCCUUUUAAUCCUUACUGGGAUCUAAUAGCUUAGAGAUGGCAGUUUUGGUUGAACACCCUCUUUUUAAAUAGAAUUCAUCUGCAGGAUGCUUUUCCAUACUUAGAAAGAAACUCCUGAUGAUGCUACCUCCCCAACUUUUCUUUCUCCCUCUCAUCUGAGUCUUAUUGUAAUUCAAGCCUAUACAUUGCAGUUGACAGUGGUCUCUUUUCUCUCCUUCUUUAAUUAGUCCUGUCAUUUUUAAUCCACUAGAAAGACGAGAGGGAGAUUGAAUGUCCCAACAACAGACAUGUUAUUCUGAAACUCCAAUUGUGACAAAUUCACAAACUCAUAAAAAAGAUUUUUUCUAUGCUGUCCUAUUAGGUCAGAGCAGAGAGAGAUGGGAGCCUGCCCUCUUUUGGGGGCUAAUUCAGAGCCAUUUUUGGUUAUUAUGCACAAGAUGUUUUUCAGCUGAGUUGUCAGGUUGUUAAAUGUCUUCGCCAUGGAGUGUUCUAGUAAUUCAAUCCCUCUGGAUUGCCCGGAGUGUCUUAAAUGUUUUGAUUGCAAAUACAGGAGGGAAACUGCUGUCCUGAACAUUCUCCCCUUAAAUCUUCUUAUGGAUUAAUUUGCUGUGUGGCCUGAAAUAGGUCAAAAGGUUUUGGCUCAGGAGUAGAAUUCUAGAAAUAAUCACCCUAUAGACACCCUAAAUCAAUCAUAAUUAAUGCACUUGCCUAGUCCCGUCAGCUGAUUGCUGCUAGAGGGUGAAAUAAAGAGACCCUUUCUAAUACAAUUUGAAAAGAGAUCAAAUCUGUCAUUUCAUCUAAUAAUUGAGCCAAAUGAGAAAAGAGAGGGGCCAAAGUUCAUUGGGUGACCUUAUGUAAACCCAAUAAUGCAUAAUUCAUUUCCUUUUU